UUCCCGGGCCUUGUACACACCGCCCGUCACACCACGAAAGUCGGCAAUACCCGAAGCCGGUGGCCUAACCCGCAAGGGAGGGAGCCGGCCACGGUCGGGUCAGCGACUGGGGUG
Molecule: ribosomal RNA, 114 nt
Filed under: uncultured bacterium
Lineage: Bacteria
Description: partial 16S ribosomal RNA
Rfam family: Bacterial small subunit ribosomal RNA
Source: RNAcentral